This is a non-coding RNA of Arachis ipaensis, 2517 nucleotides long. NCBI's taxonomy places the organism in Eukaryota, Viridiplantae, Streptophyta, Magnoliopsida, Fabales, Fabaceae. The record is from RefSeq and is a predicted model, not a curated record.
AAACUUUUAAUCAUAUUCCCACCAAUUAUUUUUACCCUCAAAUAACUUUAAAAAAAAAUUGUUUGAGUUCAGUAGCAAGAGACCCUGAGCCCUAAAUAGCCAUUAACCAAGCCAGUAACACCCACUCACGAACCCUUUCUCUCCUUUCUCCACUGUCAACUCCAAAAUCGACGACGCUAACGGCGACAGCAGCUCCUCCAUGGCGACGGCCCGGUGCUCUCCUCCACGGCGACGGCGCGGUGCUCUCCUCCACGGCGACGGUGCGGUGCGCUCUUCGCUCUGCGCCGAACGACCACCGGCGAGAAACCCCUUCUCCCUUCUCUUCUCAUUCUUCCUCUUUUUCUCUUUUCCCGCAUCCUCCUCUUUGCGAACUGGAGAUGCAUCCAAAAUCGUAGCAACCUCUGUUCCGCUGGCGAGCUUUGACGCAACACGGCAACCACCCCUCAACUGUAACCUCCUCACCCCUGCCUUCUUGUUACUCUGUCCUUCAAUUUCCAGUAGGAUUCAAGUUAAAGGGAAAAGAACAAGAAAGAAGGAACAAAAGGAGCAGUUUGUGACACUAUUAAAAUUUUAAUCUUCAGGGUGUUUGUUUUUUUCUUUAGUUUUCUUUUGACUGCUAUUUAAUGUCAAAUAUAUCAUCAUUGUUGUCUUGUAAGGAGAUGCUGAUGUAAUAUGUGGUGUAGCUUGGAAAUUCUGGUCGCUGGAGCAUAUGGCUUGCCUCAAUUUCGACUAUGAGUGUUUUUAUGGGGUGCUAAAGCUUCUGAGGUAUUCUAAUAUUUUUGAGAUAAAGAUUGCUUCAGAGGAGUUUGAGGAACAUUGGUGGACAUUCUAGGACUUGAAGAUUGCAAUUUGUUGAGCCAUGACUCCGUAAAUUUUCUAUCUUGCUUAUACUUAUUUGACUGCAGCUUGCUUAUAGUUGGAUGAAGUUUUCUGAAGAGAUAAAGAAAGAAUACAAAUAGAAGGUGGUUCGUGACAUUACGCGUCCUGAAGAUCACAUUGUUGAAUACCUUGAACGUUCACCAUAUUUCAAAAAAUUUAGAAUCAAGACAUCUGAACCAAGAUUCAUAUGAUCCCCGAGUUGAGAUCGAGUUACGAGAUAGUGGAUUCUAUCACAUAUCUCAAAUUGGGAGACUUGUUUUGCACAAUGCACUUAUAAAUGCUUUAAUCGAGCGAUGGCGUCCAGAGACUCAUAUGUUUCAUCUUCCACACGGUGAAUGCACGAUAACCUUAGAGGAUGUUGCAAUGAUAUUUGGACUCCCGAUAGAUGGUAUACCGAUGUCAGGAUUUAUGGAUAGCAGCACUAAUGGCCUCGAAAAUGAAUUCAUGACACAAUUUGGUAUUGUACCUACUGCCGCUGAUCAUAAAGGAAGCAGUGUCAAGCUUGCAUGGCUCCGCACCCUAAAGCAGCGCAUGCAGUUGGACACCGCACUUGGUAGACAAAUGUACAUCAAGAUACACUCAUUAUUGUUGUUUGGCACAAAUUUAGUUUGUGACAAGUCAGGAAUGACAAUCGACUGGAAAUUCUUGCCUUUGCUCCGAAAUUUUUCUGACAUUAGAGGCUUUAGCUGGGGAUCCGCUUGCUUGGCACAUUUGUAUAGGGCAUUAUGUCGGGCAUCACGUUAUGAUUGCAAGGAGGUGGAUGGCCCAUUGGCACUGCUUUGUAUAUGGGCUUAGGAACGGUUACCGUUCCUAGCACCGGUGCGAUCGCAUCCUAGUUUUCCGCUUGCGUGCAGAUGGAUGUUUUGGCGCUCACAGUUUCACAGAUACCAAAAGUGGACCAUUUCUCAGAUCAGGCAUUUACUAGAUGAUAUUCCUGUAGAUGGGUAUGUGUGGAACCCGUAUAGUCCUAAUCAUAUAGAAAAUAUUGUAGUUCCAAAUGACAUUUUGCAGCAUCGAUUGAUGUGGAGUGCACUUGUGCCACUAAUAUCGUUUGAAUGCAUUGAGUGGCAUGCAUCAGACCGGGUGAUGAGGCAAUUCGGUCUAGCGCAGGAAGUUCCUAGAGAAGCUACUCGUCUUGCAGAAUCUCACAACGUGGUUUUGACUGGACCAAAAAACAAAGAUUGGAGAGUUGAGCAUUCUGGAUACAUUAUGAGAUGGACAAACCGUUUGAGUUCUGUUCUGGUUGGUGAUCCUGCACUACACUAUCAACCAUCCGAUCAGUAUAUGCAAUGGUAUACAGAAGCAUAUGGGGCUCACCUGCGAUUGACUGGUUAUGUUCCACAGCCACAGCCACAGCCCCAACCCCAGCCGCAGCCACAGCUGCAGCCACAGCCCAUCAUACGUCCCCCUUGUAUUAUGUUUUUCAUAUUAAAUUAAUACAAUACGCCCUCCUUGUAUUCCUUUUUAAAAUUUUCAAAAAAGCAAUACGCCCCUCUUGUAUUGUCUUUUUUUAUUUUAAAAAACAUAUUUGGUUAAAGCAAUUCGCUCCAUGCGGAUUGUCAGCCCCAGAAACAUGUAAAACACCACCACAUCCAAUAAUAAAGUAUUACACUAAAUCCUAACCAAUAUUAAAAAAAA